Long non-coding RNA from Monodelphis domestica (gray short-tailed opossum), 619 nucleotides. Ensembl lists it as uncharacterized. NCBI's taxonomy places the organism in Eukaryota, Metazoa, Chordata, Mammalia, Didelphimorphia, Didelphidae. The record is from Ensembl.
AGUGAUUGCAUCAGUUGGCCACGCUCAUUAUAUCUAGACCUGGCUUCUGUAACACUUCACUGCACUCCCCAGCCACCCACCCACACCCAUUUCCAGUUCUGGAUCCAGGAGCAAAUUCUUGCUGUCACUGUUCCUAGAAGUGAGGUGCCAAUCUUCGUCCAGAUGGCCAUAACCCCUCUCCUUGGAACUUUCCAAACCAGAAACUUGGCGUCCAUUUCCUUCCAUGCUUCCUCUCCCUCUUCCCAAAGGCAGUCCCUUCAAACCAAGUCAGUUCUCUCUCUCGUUACCAGCUAGAGGGAAGGUUGAGCACUGGAAGAGAUUGAAACUGUGGUCCAAAAAGAGAUGGGAAGCUUCUCUGUUCUGUCCUGAGCACCCAUUACAAGAGGCAACUGAGAAGUAACAGGACAUGAGAAAUAUUCCAGAAGUAAGAAUCGAGCAUUUCACUGAAGGUUUUUGUCUUUCUGUUCUUUGAUCCAGACAAGAUUCCCAUCAUUUAUCAUGGAAAAGUUCUCAAGAAACAAAACCAGAAAGGAACAGCUGACUAUCAUCUAUUUAAGGACAUUUCAGUGCCUACGUGAAUUUGGGCUGAGUGAUGCAGUAAAAAAUCCAUGAUCCCAUU